Mus musculus (house mouse) is the source of this 5733-nucleotide RNA transcript. It is a transcript of the gene named glucuronyl C5-epimerase, with no coding region annotated. The transcript is spliced from 3 exons. NCBI's taxonomy places the organism in Eukaryota, Metazoa, Chordata, Mammalia, Rodentia, Muridae. The record is from RefSeq and is marked validated.
ACACGAGCGCUUCCUCGCCGAGAGGCUGGAGCUGCGGCAGCGCAGGCCUGGGCCGCCGUGUCUCUGCCGCUCGCUUCAGUUUUCCUCAGGGCUCUGGGGGCCGCUCGUCCGCCGACGCGCCUCAGGAAUUUAACAAGAAACUGAAGUUUUGAUUCAAAUAUUUUUUGAAUUGAAGCCAGAAAUGUACUAAGAUUUUGAUUCUUUCAUUUGAUUAAGGAUGGCACCAAACUUGAGAGAAGAUGUUCUGUGAGAACUUACUGCCAUCAGCACAUGUAGACUUCCUAGGAAAGCUCAUACUGUGAAGUCCCCCUGUGCGGGAACCAUGCAGAGCAAACACAUCAUUAGGCUCUUUUUCUUAGCUUUCCUAAUGAGUGGAGAAAUCUCAGACCUGCAGAGGCCUGCAGCUCCUUUCUGAACUGAUUUAUUUACAUAGCUUAUGCUUAGUUUAACACAUUGCUUAGAAGCAAGCAGAGAGCCUUUCCCUUCAGUGCUGUACACUACUUCAAAGAAGAAUUUAGUGCCACUGCAGUGUUGCUUUUCUGGAUGCAAAGCAGCCCUUCGCUCCUCCUUAUGCUGCUAUUGGAGAAAGUUAAGCUGAAGACCUUAGAGACUCUUAAAGGGCAGACCUGGUACACAGUGCUGCUCUUUGUCUCUUCACAAGCCAUGAGCAAGUAUUCCGUUCUUACCUAGUUGGCAGAGAUACAUAGUGAUUUGGAACCAGAUAAUAUGAUAUUGUGGCCUGGUGGAAAGAGCUUAACCCUUCGAGGUCAGAUAAAUAAAUGUUAGUAUAAACCCUACCAUGUAUAUAACACAGUAUAUAUGAGGAAUGCAUUUUUUUCCUGUAACUUCCCCUUCCUUUAAAAAUAGAGAAUACAAAACAAUCUUUUUGAUUUGUUGAGGAUUUUUAACCCAGACAUGCCUUGAUAAACAGGGGUAACAAGAUUACUAUUGUGUGUUGAGUGUUGCAGCUGAUUCUUAGCAGCAAUUUGGGGUGAUGGGAAGACGAAGUUGCUUCAGUAACAGCCUGGUAAAGUAGACUGAAGGGUAUGUAACUACCCACACUGUCAAGAGCAAGCCUUCUUGGUUUCUGGAUGAGACAUGUUUCAGCUUACUAUUUAUGGCUAACAGUGACUAUUGUAGCAGGAAUUGAUAGCAACAAAAUAUAUAAGUAAAAUUGCCCUGCACCUUCAAUUUAGAGAAUGCCAACAAAUUUAUAAUAAUCUCAGAAAGACUUAGCAAUUUAUAGUCUUACUAAAAUGUUCUUCGAAGUCUACUGUACAGUCCUUAUGGAAUAAGGCUCUCUUCUUGCUUGUAAGCAAUGUGUCAAUCUAAGCAUAUGCUAUGCAAAAUUAAAAUUAUUAAUUAAAUUCAUAUUUCACUGUGUGGUUGUUAUGAGCUUAUUGUAAUUGAGAUAUAAAAAAGAGGUAUUUGGAGAGGAGGUGGUUAAUUUGUGCAUCGGAAAGACUUUACCCUGGCUUGCUCCCCAUGUCCAUGUUCUGCUUCUGAAUCAUUGAACCCUGCUGUGGUUUUUUUGGUUUUGUUUUGUUUUAGGUCUUUUGUUUUUAACUUAGCACAUUGCUGUCUGGAACAAAAGGUAUUUCUCAGUCUUCCUUUCAACUUGAGGUAGCCAUGUUUCUGAGGUUUGGCUAAUGAGGUGUCAGGAGUGUUAUGUGAAACUGAAGGGAUGUCUCAUUAAAGGGAACUGAUUCCACACAAAGAUGUGCUCUUUUGCCCUUGGGCCUUUCUGCUGCUUCCUGGGCUGCAAUGCAGACAUAAAGCAGAGGCUUCAGUAGCUUUCUUGGGUCAUAGGUUGAUAUAAAAAGAUUAAAAGUUGCUAUGUCCUUGAUGAGCAUGUAGCUACUUCAAUGUUUCAGACUGUAUACUUUUGGGUUUCUUUUAUGUGAAUAAAAAGUAACAAUGGCUAGGACAUAUGGUGUCUGUUUCUAACAGUAUAACCCAGCCCUCACAGACCACAGUGUUGCUGGGCACAGGUAUCUGAUUCCCUCUAACCCCUCCUCUAGGUGCUGUUGAAAUGAAACCAGCACAGCACAGCACAGCACAGCACAGCACAGCACAGCACAGCACAGCACAGCACCAUAUGCUUGAAAUACUGAAAUGUCAAGAAAUUUCAACUGAACACUUGAUAUUCACACUGAAAGGAACCAGACCCUGAAAUAAAUGGCUAUUUCAGGUCUUGCACAGAAAGUUACAUGAUGAACCUAGGAUGUCUUGUCAUGAAAAAUAGCAGAGAAGCUAUCAAAAGCCAUUGAGGUUGUUUGAAAGGACUUAGAGCCAAUUUGAAAAGAGUGACAUUGGCUAAAGUUAGAAUAACUUGAGCAUUAAACACCAGUAACUAUAGUAAAUUGAAAUUCAUCAAAGCUCUGAGCUUCUGUGUUGCCUUUUUAAAGGCUUUUUGCUUAUUUUAGAGGUUAUUAAACAACCAAUUCAUUAUUUUUAUAAUUGCUAAAUAAAAAAAAUCAGUAAUUACUUUCCUGUACAACUAUAUAUUGUCAAGCUAAGCAAAUAGUAAGGCAAGGUUUUCUUUUCUGAGGUGUUCCAGCUAAUGCAUUGAGAAGGACUGAUAAAGUGAUAGGCGAACUGCUAAUGGAGAGCUUUCUAGUGGCUGUGUGGGGCUGGAAGCACCUACCUGCACAUACAGGUUAAUUUUACUAUCACAGAGAUAGUUCUACAUCAUAUAUACCCUGAAUAAAUUUCAUACCUCUAUCAUGAAUUACUCCCGUUGAACAAAAAUUAAACCCUACUCUUAUCAAACCUCUAGAUCUAGCUGCUGAUUUAACAGAAGUACUGGAGACAGGAUUCUGCAACAGUUCCAAAAACAAAAGACAACACACCAUUGAAUACAAGGCAAAAACAUUGACUUUUAAUGGAUUUAUUUUGUUGACAGCUUUAUGCAUGUAUAUAAUGCAUUCUGAUAACUCUCUCCCCUGCCUUGUUAAAUGUCCUCCUCCUUCCAGUCAGUCCUUUUCCCAGAUUCAUAAUGUUUUGAUUUGUAACCCAAUUAGCUAAACCAAGGCAAGUUGUGAUCAUUAGAUUGGAACUAUCCCUUGGAGCCUGGAGGAGUCACCCAUGCAUUAAUAACUGAAGAGAGUAAUUACCUCUCUCCAUGAGGCUAGCAGUCAAUGGGUAGAGACCCCUGAGCUUCUCCAUCAUCUAUGCCCCAUUGAUGCUAGGCCCAUUCUUGUGCAGACCCAGUACAGGCAUCUGUAGUUGCUGUGAGUUCACAGUGGCAAUGGCUAAUGUGUCUUGUCUACGAGAUAACAUCCAUAGUUCUUCUUCCUAUCUUCUGGCUCUUCCAUUCUUUGCACCACUCUUCCACAAUGCUCCCUGAGUCUUAGAGGUAAUAGAAAGAUAUAAAUUAAAAGAGUGUAGAAGGAAUGAGCACUUACCCAUCACUUGGCAGCACCAUAUACAGCCAUGAUUCUACAUCACAUUCCCUGAAAAUAGCCUUCUCUGAUUAAGGCCAAGAGUAGCAGUGGUCUCUGGGUAUAAACGUCAAUGUUUAGACUUGACACAAUGUCAGUUUAGCUGGACAGCAGUAUUCAGCUUCCCCCCAGAGCCUCUGAUCUCUCCUACCAUGGAUUUUUCACCAGGUUUACCGUACCAGACAUGGAUUCCAUCCUAUGGGAUAGGUCUUUAAUCAGGGAGCAGUUGGUACCUUCCUAACAGUAGUGAUAUAGAUAGAAAGGUACAGCUUACCUGGCAAGUUGCUCUUGUAGUUCACAGGAUUCACAGCUAGGUAAGUUCACUGAUGCCUUUUCUCCCCUGGGAGACUGUGUAGUUCCUUCUUCCAGCUCGGUUCUACCUUGAUUUCUCCAUAACAAACGCAUAUACUCCAUAUAAGAGUUUACUUCACAGAAAUUUUAGAAAGCAUUUCUCCUCCCCCUCCCCCUCCUGUGUCUGUCUACCUAUCUACCUAUUUUUGUUUUUUUGAGAUAGGAUUUCUCUGUCCUGGAACUUGCUCUGUAGACCAGACUAGCCUCAAACUCAGAGAUCCAUCUGCCUCUGUCCCCACCCCAGUGUUGAGUUUAAAGGCAUGCACCAUCACCACCUGCUGGAAAUCAUUUCUUAGGCUUACGUAUGUACUCACUGAUAAGUGGAUAUUAGGCCAAAAGCUCCGAAUACCCAUGAUACAACUCACAGACCAUAUGAAGCUCAAGAAGAAGGAAGAACAAAGUGUAGGUACUUUGGUCCUACUUAAAAUGGGGAACAAAAUAAUCAUGGGAGGUAGAGUGAGGGAGAGAAGAUGGGGGAGAGAAAGGGGAACAGGAUCAGAUGUGGGAGGAGACAGGGGAGAAGUACAGAGGGUCAGGAAAUUGACCAGAGGUGUGUAGCAGUAGGGGAUAGGGAACCGGGGGUAGCCACUAGAUUCCCAGAUGCCAGGGAAGCAAGAGAUUCCUAGGACCCAACGGGGAUGACAUUAGCCGAAAUACUGAACAAAGGGGAGAUAGAACCUGCAGAGACCAUAUCGGUCCCCUGUUGAGGGAUGGGGCCACCCACCCAUCUCAAAAAUAUUAACCCAGAAUUGCUCCUGUCUAAAGGAAAUACAGGGACAAAGAAUGGAGCAAAGACUGUAGGAAAGGCCAUCCAAAGACUGUCCCACUUGUGGAUCCAUCCCAUCUGCAGACACCAAACCCAGACACUCUUGCUGAUGCCAAGAAGCACUUGCUGACAGGAGCCGGGUAUAGCUGUCCCUUGAGAAGGGUCUGCCAGAGCCUGACCAGAUAGAGGUGCGGAUGCUUGCAGCUAACCGCCAAACUGAGCAUGGGGAUGCCAAUGAAGGAGUUAAGGGAAGGACCAAAGGAGCUGAAGGGGUUUGCAACCCCAUAGGAACAACAACAGUAUCAACCAACCAGAGCUCCCAAGGACUAAACCAACCAAAGAAUACACAUGAAGGUUGGGGGCGGGGGUGGAGGGAGAAUGACCCAUGACUCCAGCUGCAUAGGAAACCAGAGGAUGGCAUUAUCUGGCAUCAAUGGAAGGAGAGGCCCAGCAUAGGGGAAUGCAAGGGCGGGGAGGUGGGAGUGGAUGGGUGGGUGGAAGAGCACCCUCAUAGAAACAGGGUUGGGGAGGGAUGGGAUAAGGGGUUUGCAGAGGGGAAAUCAGGAAGGGGGAUAACAUUUGAAAUGUAAAUAAAUAAAAUAACCAAUUAUAAAAAGAGAGAAAAAUUGCAGAGAUCAUAGAUAUUGAAAAUGAAUUCACAAGGCAGUAAGGCUAAGAUGAAAAAAGAAUACUAGCUAAUAGAAAGAUAUAAAUUAAAAGAGUGUAGAUAAAAUAAGGACAAUAGGAUGGAAACUGUUUUUAAAAGCAUUAAGCAAUAGAGUAGACAUUGAAUUAUGCAGAGGCCAAAUUAAACUGCACCAGAAUAAAGAACACAUUCAAAAAUUGAAUUCAUGAUAUAGAAUACAAAUUUGAGAAGCUUUCCCAAAAUGCAAAUGAAAAGAGAUGUAAAAUAUUUGAAGAAAGUAAAGAGUAAAAAGAUGUAAUAUGUAGAAUUUAUAUUCUAGAGAGACCAGAGCAAGUUGAAUAGGGAUCGAUUUGUUAUUAAACACUGUAGGAAAAAGAUGGAGGAUUACUUGAUGAUAAUUCAAACAGGAGUAUUCUCUAACACUUGCUACGUUUAUUAAAUGAGGCAAACAAGCCUAUUCUGGUAUUCCUGUUUUAAAAUCAUCUUUAAAAAAUAUUAAAAACUUAAAAUUAAAAUCAUGCAUCUAA